GCCCACAAGAGAUUAUGCGAGAACAAGUCCACGUGAAGCUCUCCUUUCUCGCCGCCGCCGCCGCCGCCGUCGACGGGCUAGGGUUUCGGCGCGGAGAGCCAUGGACGCGGCUGCGCGGACCCCCCGCUCCUCCACUACAAGUACGCCGAGGUGCCGGACGCCCCGGCGCUCGCGGCCGUGUACGAGUCCCGCUGCCGCGCGCUCGCCCUCGUCGGCCGCGUCCGCGUCGGCCCCGACGGCGUCAACGCCACGGCUUCCUUGACACGGCAUUUGUCCACAAAAUUUCUCUCUUUCUUCUCCAGGAUUCCAGUAAGGAGUAUGUAUGUGAGUUGUACCAAAAGAAUGGAAAGCAGUGAUGCCAAAUAUCACCAAGACAAGAUUGCGAAACAGAGUCAGAGCUAAUAGAUUCUUCUGACUUUGGAAGACCAGCGAUUAUAAAUCAAAUUGCAUCCUCUACAAUUCCCAGUAGUAAUGGUAAGGUCUGUAUCAGUUUGCUUUUGCACACUCCUGAUAAUAUGCUAUUUUUCUGAGCAAGUAUCCCCAUCUUUUAAGCCAAUCUUACAGAAGGAUCUUGCCAUUGGAAGCAAAGGUUCAAUAAUGAGGUCAAAAUUAUCUAUGUACUUCUUUCAUACAAAGCCAAGGCAGUGAUCAGCUCGGUAAACUAAGAUCCUCUGUUUGCAUGGUUUCCGUCAGAAUGCAUCAAAUUUUAAGGGGAGAACAUCAGCACUUGCCAAGAAGCUAAAACACAUUGCCAAGCUUGUCUUCAUAGAUGCUCCACACGAGCUUUCAUUUGUAUACAGACCAAAUCCAGAUCACAAAUCUGAUCGAUCUUCAUUGCCAUCUGGCACACCAAAGAGAAAGCACUGAACUUGCGAAUCAAUUCGAUUGGGUUGUUGCUCCAUUAUCGAGCAUGAUAUGGGCCAUAUAAUUCCUACGCGACCACCCUAUAUUGAUCUAAUCAUAGAGUUCCUGUCCAAUUUUCUUUGAAUUGUUUGGGAAUAAGGCAAUGUGCUUUUCAUGUAAGUUGUAACUUGUGACAUUCUUUGAUGCAUCUCUCGUAUUAUCGUCUCUACUUCACUGCUUCGGCAUUCUGUUUGUCUCUGAGAGAACCCUACUAUAUGCUUUGCAGCCUACUUGCUAUCCCACUUCGAACUUUGUUGUUUUAAGAGUAUGCAAUUUAUGUACCUGUUGAUUUAUAGUCGAACAAUUUUGAAUUAUAAUAUUUUU
Oryza brachyantha (malo sina) is the source of this 1227-nucleotide long non-coding RNA. RefSeq lists it as uncharacterized. NCBI's taxonomy places the organism in Eukaryota, Viridiplantae, Streptophyta, Magnoliopsida, Poales, Poaceae. The transcript is spliced from 3 exons. The record is from RefSeq and is a predicted model, not a curated record.